Molecule: long non-coding RNA, 5131 nt
Filed under: Nicotiana benthamiana
Lineage: Eukaryota; Viridiplantae; Streptophyta; Magnoliopsida; Solanales; Solanaceae
Description: long non-coding RNA (NBEN_LNC029538)
Source: RNAcentral
UUUAAUUCCCACACAUAUUUGUUUCUAUAAAUAGGUGCCCCGCCGCUGCUAGUCCUAAAUAGGGUAGUCCACCACAAAUAAUUAUAUUUCCCCAACCCCAAAAAUAGACCUACCACAACUCUUUCUUCAUUAAACGCCAACCACAAUCACUCACCCACCCACCAUUCUCAAAAAAAAAAAAAUCCUGCCCUUCAUUUCUUGUUCGUGAUAAAAGAACAAAACAUCAACUACUCUCUUUGCUGCUUUUCUUUCCACAACUCUUUCCUGUUUACAGUACAUAGAAUUAAAAGCAAUUCAUAAUUUAACUUCUAUGGGUUCAAUUUUAUUUUAUUAUAACAGGUUCAGAACUAUUAUUUAUUACAAUUUGAGUAGAAUUUUACAUAUCAAUUUAUGAAAUAUUAAGGUCAAAUGAACCCGUAUUGCGGCGCUGCUUCUACCUCGUAGUGAAGAAGGGCGAGAGUCGGUGUGAGAUAUUGUUGACAGAAGAUAGAGAGCACAGAUGAUGACAUGCCUGCUAAAUCUGGGAUUGGAGAAGCAAUGAACUGCAAAAAAGCAUCUCAAUUCAUCUGUGCUCUCUAUGCUUCCGUCAUCACCUUCACCACUCUUUCUCCCUUUUCUUCAAAAUUAUCAACGUUUCAGGUUUUCUCAUAAUUUAGGUUUUCUUUAUUGGGAUAUUUCUUGCAAAAACAAACUUCUAUAAAAGGAAAGAAAUUGGAUGGUAGGGUCAUGAUUCACAUAACCGAGCGCUACUUUUUGCAGUCCUCUUUUGUUGUGCAGCUUUUGUCAGAUUACAGCUGAUCUAACAUUAAUAUUUUAUGUAUUCACAAGAUUAGUGCUAAGCAUAGAAUAAUGGUCCAGAUUGUCGGUUUUCACUUGAUUUGUAAGAUAUAUAUAUAUCUAUACACACUACUGAGUUUCAAUGCUUACAGGUUAUCAACUCUAAAAUUUACUCAACUUAUGUUAUAAAUUUAUAUGCUUAUCUCAAUUUUGUGCCGUUGCAGCUUCUCCUUUAACAGAUCAGUGGAUCUCUCUAGUCCUAUGCCAUGUACCUGAAGAGAAACAUCUUUUCAAGGGGAUGCAAUGAGGCUACAAUUACAUGUAAUCCCCUCUCUAUCUCUCACUAUCUCUUUCUGUGUAUUGUAUAUUAGCGCAGGUAAUUAUUGUUUAGUAAUUCACCGGGUAGAUAUUAGUCAAUUAACUAGAAUUUAAAAGCGAGUAUCGAACUUCGGAGGUGAGAGAAUAAGUGUCAAGAGUAAAAGCACUUCAGUAUGUUUGAUAUCCGAAAGUUUAAAUCAAAAGAAGCUGAUGCCCAAAAAGAGCUGCAAUUAUAGAGUUCUCUUCAGCAACAUUGAUGAAAUAAUACAUAAUUCAUAGACUCAAAAUCCUAAUUUUGCCUUAUUAGAACUUCCUAGAGAACUCUCUUGCAAGUUGCAAUCGUAGAAAAUAAAUAUUCAAGGGCAUAAUCUUAUGUCUACGCAAUCACCCUCCCAGGGGUUGAUAAUAGAAUCAGCAAUUAGCGUCACUAACAAAAAGUAAAUUUAUAGUGAGUGCGUCAUAUCUCCUUAGAAAUAAACCAGCUACCAAAAACUGCUUAUUUUAAAAGUAUUUUUGUUCAAAAAUAAUUUUUUUUUAAAAUUCUUUUGCAAAAUACUUUGAAGUAUCAAAAAACUGACAUAUAUGUUCAAUUUGCGGUUAGUAUUAUUUUAAAAAUAAAAAUAAAUUUCAAUACUUAUUAUAUAAGAGUUUAACUAAAAUACAAAACAUAAAGUAAAAAUAUAAAUUAAAUUUCUCAGUUAAUAUAAAAUAUAGCUAUAUAUUCCAAAGCAAUAACAUUGAGCGUUUGGUAUUACUUAUUGUGUACAUGAUAAUUUAAAUAUGUAAAAUAUAUCAUUUAAUAUAAAUUUGAAGUCUACUUUUAGGAAUAGAAGAAAGAGAAUAAAUAUAUGAUUAAAAUAAAAAAGGAGAAGAAAUAUAUAUAGAAAUAAAAUGAAAAGGGAAAAUAAAAAUGUUAGAUUAACGAGGGAUAAUUUGAAAGAUACAAAUUUAUUAUAAGUCUAUUCUUGUCUUGAAUAAAUUAAUUUUGUACUUCUGCUUCUACUUCUAUUUUUUGGAAGAAGCUAGAAUUUUUAGCUUCUCUGUAAAAGCAGAAAAACUGCUUCUCCUGUUGCUCAGAAAUAUUUUUUCAUUUUGGCCAAACACCUUAAAAUUUUCAAAAAGUACUUCUUUGACAAAAAAAAUACUUUUGACCUUCUAGAAGCUUGUCAAACAGGCUCUUAACUUCUCACCUAAUAUUCAGUAUCUACUUUGCGGCUGCUACUUUGGAGCCUGACUAAUCAAGAUUCUCAUCAGAAAUUAAUUUCAAUUUUAAGUGAUAAAGCAUUCCCUACCAAAAGAUAACUUCAUAUCCGAUUCAAAACUCAAAACUCUAGUUAAGGACUAAAAUAUAUUUACCACGUCACCACAACCGUUACCACCAUAGCUGAUCUUUCUUAGAGUUUCAUCUAGUGCUUUAGUGUAUAUUGAUUGUACUAUUAAUAUAGAGUUUUCUUGGUGAGUUUCUGCCAGUUUUUGUUCUAAAUACUAUACAUUCAGAUAAACAAAGAACGUUAUUGCCAUUUUGCCAUCCACUUUCAUUCAAAUAGAAGAAGAUUUCAACUUUUUAGCUUGAUAUUCAUGUCCAAACUAAAGGAGAUACCUAACUAUAUAUGCUAAUAUAUAUCAAAUCGAUGGGUAUAUAUAUGAUGCAAAUAUAAUGUUCUUUGUGCCAUUCUGCAACUUAAAAUAGUUCUAUUCUUGGGUACACCCCUAUUUUAGGAAUUAGUCUGUAACACCACAACAACAACAACCUUGCUCUUAGGGAGGUAUCCUUCCCUCCAAAAACUUCCCACCUUGCUCUUAGGGAGACUCGACUCACAACCUCUCGGUUGUAAGUGGGGUUGCUUACCAUCAGAGCAACCCCCUCUUAGGCAACCACGCACACAUUCAGCCUAUAUGAUCAGAAUUGGCAACUUUGGUAAAUCCUGUAAUUUUCAAGUUUGAAUAGCCAUAAUAUUUCCCAAAUAGCUUAGCAGUUUUUGCUCUAAUCAUGAAAAGAAGACCUUAUACUACAGAGGCUAGUUUGUGGAUCAGAUAAUAAUUGGGAAAACAUCUCUCCCAAGCAGUGGCAGACCCAAAAAUUCUAACAAGGGGACUCAAAAAAAUCAAGAUUGUCCAAGUGAUUCAACAAUUUACACAUUUAUAAAAUUCCUUGCUUUUACCCUUCAGACUAUGUAGUUUCGCCCCUGCUCCCAAGUUUACUAUGUGUGUGGUGUUGCACAUGGACAUAAUCCUACUUCUAUUAGAAGCAUAUGUGCUAAUAAGCACAUGCGAAGCCAGAAUUUGAAGUUUAUGAUUCUAAACUAUGUUACUUGGACUCUCCGAAAAUGUCGUUGCGUGCAUGUCGGAUCCUCCAAAAAUAGUAGAUUUUUGGAAGAUCCGACACAAGUACGGUAGUAUUUUGGAAAGUCAGCACAACAUAGGUUCUGAACUUUCCACAAUAUAAUCUUACAAAUAUAAAAUGUUGCUGUAAGCUGUUGAGUCUUCAAUGAAAGCCCUAACCAAAGCAGCACAAAAAUGUUAGAAAAAGAAAAUUAAACCUUCACCAAUCAAACACCAGAAUUUUUUGCAAGAAAAUAUUUUCCAUGGAAAAUUUCCAUCCGUCGCACCAAACACAAUCUUAGAAAAAGGACAAUACGGUGCGCACUAAGAGAAGGGUCGUUGCCAAAUCACUGCUACAAAAUUUGGUUUUAGCGAUGGAUAAAUUCUGUAGCUAAAUAAAAAAAUCUGUUUAGCGAUAGAUUAUCAAGAAAUUCUGCUAGCUACGGAUAAUUUUGCGACAAAUUAACGACGAAGUUAGUAGCUAAUUCCAAUUUUUUUUUGUAGUGCACAAAAGUCUAUUGUAGCACCUAACACAACCUUAAGGGAAGGAAAUUCAUGAGACACUUUGUUUCACUAUCUAACACUCUCUAAAUUUAGAAACUAUGUCAAAUGGACUAAUAGGAAAAGAAGAAGAAAAAACAUAAGCAAAAAAGGUUUUCCUAUCUUUCAUAUUAUAUUAUAAUAUAUAUUCUAUAAUACUUCAUUAUAAUAUCCAAAAAAUAUCAAAACAAACGCGUUCUGUAGAAAUGUUUGACUGUGUAUCUGGUUGUUUCUGUUUCCUUUUUUUUUAAAGGCGAAGAAUAUUUCAUGAGUUCUAUCAUUUCACAUCAACCGAAAGCUUUUAGGACUAAAUUUAACUUUAAAAUAUUAGUGACCGCAGAUAUUAUACAGUUAAUACAUAUAAGUCGUUAGGAAUAUCAUAUAUGAUGGUCAAACAUAAAACAACCCUUGUUGUCGUAAAUUAAAGGACUUCCGCAUAAUUCGAAACCUAUAUGAUAUUAAAUGCCAGAAAGAUAUGUUCUUUCAGUGCAUAUAUAUCUGAGGUCGACCUAAAAAGUGUUUGGUUUUUUGGCUUAGAGGGGCGCGAAAAAAUAAAAUUGAAAAUUUUUCUCUUUUACAAAAGGAAUUUUAUCUCAUACUCGAGGAGGAAAAGAUAUUUGUUGGAUUUAUAUACAAACGGAUUUCUCUAACUCUUAAAGACUUGAGAAAAAGAUAAAGUGAUAAACCUUGCGCCAUGACACUCAUAAUUGAUUGAUUAAUUUUUUGGACCAACAAAUAUAAGUUUAUUAGUUAAUAUUAAUAUUAUAUUAACAUUUAUGACCGUUUUGUAACGGUAAUUAAAUAAUUCCCUCAUUUUAUGUCCAACCGGUUUUGCAGAAUCAGCCACGAAUAAGGCUGUUUCAAUUAUAGCUACCAGAAAGGAUGCAACUUUCGAGUUACACGUUCUUCUUUUCUGCAUUAUUUUCUAACGUGAUUUUCUACCGCCAUUCGUGUUCGCUUGCUAUUGGUGUAUUUAAAAUAUCACUACACUUAUUCUGUUCUAUCCUAAAAGGAAAUAAUUAUAGAUUUUGGUACUAGGAAAGGAUUAAGUUCUUUAAAAAUACACUGUGAAAUUAGCAGGCUCGGAUUUAUUUUUCUUCUGCCUUUAUGUUUCAAGCUUUAGUUAGCGUUUGCAAUUUAUUUUUGGAAUUAAGAAAGCUAAUAGAAUGUAGGA